GUACACGCUGUGACUAGCAUAUCAAUAAGCGGAGGAAAAGAAACUAACAAGGAUUCCCCUAGUAACGGCGAGUGAAGCGGGAAGAGCUCAAAUUUGAAAUCUUAAAGGGUUUCCCUUUACGAAUUGUAGUUUAAAGAAGUGUUUUCUGUUGAGGUUUUGGUAAAAGUUCUUUGGAAUAGGACAUCAUAGAGGGUGAGAAUCCCGUAUUUGACCUUUACUUUCAACUUUGUGAUACACUUUCAAAGAGUCGGAUUGUUUGGGAAUGCAGUCCAAAAUGGGUGGUAAAUUUCAUCUAAAGCUAAAUAUUGGCGAGAGACCGAUAGCGAACAAGUACCGUGAGGGAAAGAUGAAAAGAACUUUGAAAAGAGAGUUAAACAGUACGUGAAAUUGUCAAAAGGGAAGCGUUUGACACCAGUGUUGUUUUUCUGAAAAUCAAUUAAGGAACUGUUUAUGCUAAGCUGUUUAGACUUUAUCAGCUAUCUGUUUAGUUUUGAGCUUUUCUUUAACGCACUUUUCAGUUAACAAGUCAACAUCAAUUUCUUUUGCCGUAAAAAAGCUUGAGGAAGGUGGCUUGAGAUUCGUCUUAAGUGUUUAUAGCCUCUUGCCUAUGCAGUCGGAGAGAUUGAGGUCUGCAGCGUAGAUCCUUCGGGGCUAAAUGCAUUUGUGCUAAGUUAUAGCAUUUUAUAGACAACUUGUUGACUAUGAUUUGUCUUGUAGCUUACUCGCUUAUGUUAUUUUACCUACGCUUAGGAUGUUGAUAUGCAUGACUGAUAU
This 774-nucleotide ribosomal RNA is filed under the name uncultured Neocallimastigales. Its description in RNAcentral is "partial large subunit ribosomal RNA". It matches the Rfam family "Eukaryotic large subunit ribosomal RNA", at positions 22 to 640 of the family's 3401-position model. The record is from RNAcentral. Lineage: Eukaryota; Fungi; Neocallimastigomycota; Neocallimastigomycetes; Neocallimastigales.